AAUAAUGUGGUUGUUAUUCGCCAUUGAUAAGAAUCGAGUCUAAGACCUCUCACUUACAAAUGAAGAUGAAUAUCACUAAACCGUCGUACUAAGUGACAUAAUAUGAAUAUUGAUCUCUACAAGAAUAUAAUACCUCAACUGAACUCUCUGUACAACAAAAACAUAUCAAUGGAGACGGGGAUUCAAUCAAAUAUUUGGCUUUAAAGAAGACAACUUAUUAGUUGCCGUGUUAUGUUACUUUGACGAACCUCUUGUCUGGUCUUCAAUAAGACGUAGUCUCCAGCUUCUAUGUGUGAAUGUAAAACUUGAUGGUUAUGUUGGCGUGAG
RNAcentral lists this long non-coding RNA (327 nucleotides) under Malus domestica (apple). Its description in RNAcentral is "long non-coding RNA (MDOM_LNC002545)". Lineage: Eukaryota; Viridiplantae; Streptophyta; Magnoliopsida; Rosales; Rosaceae. The record is from RNAcentral.